ACGUACAGGGAAGGUGAACAGUGAGUCAGCUCUUCCUUCCGCUAAGUCAACAUAGUGGCCUUAUUCCCACCACUCCAGGCUGGGAAAGCACAAACAUACAAGAAAUGCCUUUAAUCACGGAAUAAGACUAAGCCUCAAGCCCCCUCAUCUGCCAGAGUGUGCUCUGCUGUCAAACCUCAAAGUCAUUGAGAAACAAACCCUGAUAAUCUCACCCGGCUUCAAGACCAAGGGAGUCCUAGUAUCAUGGAGAAGAGCAAGGAGGGGCCCAGGGCUGCCGCAGGACAUGCCACUCCAGACAGAACUCAACUUCCCUAGUGACUAUUGGCUUUCCAACCUCUCCUCCAGCACAGCAGGCAGAUGACAAUACUUGCAAGACAUGAUGUGUUAAAUUAAAAAACAUGGUCUAUUUAACAAAUUCUUUUAUAAAUUUUUCUGGAUUCUCUGGCCAAAUUUUUCCUUGUAUAAAGCUAAAUCACACAUAGAAAAUG
Molecule: non-coding RNA, 488 nt
Filed under: Pongo abelii (Sumatran orangutan)
Lineage: Eukaryota; Metazoa; Chordata; Mammalia; Primates; Hominidae
Source: RNAcentral